This 328-nucleotide ribosomal RNA is filed under the name uncultured eukaryote. RNAcentral describes it as "partial 18S ribosomal RNA". It matches the Rfam family "Eukaryotic small subunit ribosomal RNA", at positions 1470 to 1796 of the family's 1831-position model. The record is from RNAcentral.
CCCUUAGAUGUCCGGGGCUGCACGCGCGCUACACUGAAGGAAUCAGCGUGCUAAAACCAUUGUCGAAAGGCAUUGGUAAACCCAUUAAAAUCCUACGUGAUUGGGAUCGGGAAUUGCAAUUAUUUCCCUUGAACGAGGAAUUCCCAGUAAGUGUGGGUCAUAAGCUCGCGUUGAUUACGUCCCUGCCCUUUGUACACACCGCCCGUCGCUACCCGGGACUGAGCCGUUUCGAGAAAAGCGGGGACUGCUGCUGUCGGGGCUUUCGGGCCUUGGCUUCGGUGGAAACCGCUUUAAUCGCAGUGGCUUGAACCGGGCAAAAGUCGUAACA